AGUCAUAUGCUUGUCUCAAAGAUUAAGCCAUGCAUGUGUAAGUACAUACCUAAACAAGGUGAAACCGCGAAUGGCUCAUUAAAUCAGCUGUGGUUCAUUGGAUCUUAAACCCACUUACUUGGAUAACUGUGGUAAUUCUAGAGCUAAUACAUGCGUCCAGUCUCUGACCGCAAGGGAAGAGCGCUCUUAUUAGUCCAAAACCGGUCGGGCCUCGGUCCGUAACCCUUCGGUGGUGAAUCUGAAUAAUUUUGACCUGAGCGCACGGCCUCCGCGCCGGCGCCGUAUCUUUCAAGUGUCUGCCUUAUCAGCUCUCGACUGUAGGUUAUGUGCCUACAUUGGCGAUAACGGGUAACGGGGAAUCAGGGUUCGAUUCCGGAGAGGGAGCCUGAGAAACGGCUACCACAUCUAAGGAAGGCAGCAGGCACGCAAAUUACCCACUCCCGGCACGGGGAGGUAGUGACGAAAAAUAACGGUGCGAGACUCAUCCGAGGCCUCGCAAUCGGAAUGAGUACACUUUAAAUCCUUUAACGAGGAUCGAUUGGAGGGCAAGUCUGGUGCCAGCAGCCGCGGUAAUUCCAGCUCCAAUAGCGUAUAUUAAAGUUGUUGCGGUUAAAAAGCUCGUAGUUGGCUCCCAGUUCCGGACUGGCGGCGCACCGCCCGGUGUCUGUCCGUCACGCUCCGAACAGCAGGGACCAACCCUGCCCGGCCGGCUCGCCCGGGGUGCCCUUCACCGGGUGUCCCGCGUGGCCGGCGCGUUUACUUUGAAAAAAUUAGAGUGCUCAGAGCAGGCUGCUUGAAUGGCCUGGAUGGUGAUGCAUGGAAUAAUGGAAUAGGACCUCGGUUCUAUUUUAUUGGUUUUCGGAUCCAGAGGUAAUGACGAAUAGAAACAGGCGGGGGCAUUCGUACUGCGACGCUAGAGGUGAAAUUCUUGGACCGUCGCAAGACGAACUACUGCGAAAGCAUUUGCCAAGGAUGUUUUCAUUAAUCAAGAACGAAAGUUAGAGGUUCGAAGGCGAUCAGAUACCGCCCUAGUUCUAACCAUAAACGAUGCUGACCAGCGAUCCGCCGGCGUUAUUCCCAUGACCCGGCGGGCGGCUUCCGGGAAACCAAAGUCUUUGGGUUCCGGGGGAAGUAUGGUUGCAAAGCUGAAACUUAAAGGAAUUGACGGAAGGGCACCACCAGGAGUGGAGCCUGCGGCUUAAUUUGACUCAACACGGGGAACCUCACCAGGCCCGGACACCGGGAGGAUUGACAGAUUGAGAGCUCUUUCUCGAUUCGGUGGGUGGUGGUGCAUGGCCGUUCUUAGUUGGUGGAGCG
Molecule: ribosomal RNA, 1317 nt
Filed under: Coriollianassa sp. MOZ-33
Lineage: Eukaryota; Metazoa; Arthropoda; Malacostraca; Decapoda; Callianassidae
Description: SSU rRNA
Rfam family: Eukaryotic small subunit ribosomal RNA
Source: RNAcentral